UGGGGAAUUUUGUGCAAUGGGCGAAAGCCUGACACAGCGACACCGCGUGAGCGAAGAAGCCCUUUGGGGUGUAAAGCUCUGUCAGCUGGAACGAAAAAAAUGACGGUACCAGCAGAGGAAGCAUCGGCUAACUACGUGCCAGCAGCCGCGGUAAGACGUAGGAUGCAAGCGUUGUCCGGAUUUAUUGGCGUAAAGAGUUCGUAGGCGGUUCGUUAAGUCUGAUGUUAAAGAUCAGGGCUCAACCCUGAGAGUGCAUUGGAUACUGGCGAGCUGGAGUGUGGUAGAGGCUAGUGGAAUUCNNNNGUGUAGCGGUGAAAUGCGUAGAUAUUGGGAAGAACACCGGUGGCGUAGGCGACUAGCUGGGCCAUAACUGACGCUGAGGAACGAAAGCCAGGGGAGCGAAUGGGAUUAGAUACCNNNNGUAGUCCUGGCUGUAAACGAUGGAUACUAGGCGUAGUGGGUAUCGACCCCUACUGUGCCGCAGCUAACGCGAUAAG
This 497-nucleotide ribosomal RNA is filed under the name uncultured bacterium. Its description in RNAcentral is "bacterial SSU rRNA". It matches the Rfam family "Bacterial small subunit ribosomal RNA", at positions 355 to 864 of the family's 1533-position model. The record is from RNAcentral.